GAUGAACGCUGGCGGCGUGCCUAAUACAUGCAAGUCGAGCGAACAGAUAAGGAGCUUGCUCCUUUGACGUUAGCGGCGGACGGGUGAGUAACACGUGGGUAACCUACCUAUAAGACUGGAAUAACUCCGGGAAACCGGGGCUAAUGCCGGAUAACAUUUAGAACCGCAUGGUUCUAAAGUGAAAGAUGGUUUUGCUAUCACUUAUAGAUGGACCCGCGCCGUAUUAGCUAGUUGGUAAGGUAACGGCUUACCAAGGCAACGAUACGUAGCCGACCUGAGAGGGUGAUCGGCCACACUGGAACUGAGACACGGUCCAGACUCCUACGGGAGGCAGCAGUAGGGAAUCUUCCGCAAUGGGCGAAAGCCUGACGGAGCCACGCCGCGUGAGUGAUGAAGGUCUUCGGAUCGUAAAACUCUGUUAUUAGGGAAGAACAAAUGUGUAAGUAACUGUGCACGUCUUGACGGUACCUAAUCAGAAAGCCACGGCUAACUACGUG
Molecule: ribosomal RNA, 497 nt
Filed under: uncultured bacterium
Lineage: Bacteria
Description: partial 16S ribosomal RNA
Rfam family: Bacterial small subunit ribosomal RNA
Source: RNAcentral